GCGUAAGGAUGCGUAGGCUGGAAAUCAAGUCGAGAGUGAAAUCCAACGGCUCAACCGUUGAACUGCUCUCGAAACUGGUUACCUAGAAUAUGGGAGAGGUAGAUGGAAUUGGUGGUGUAGGGGUAAAAUCCGUAGAUAUCACCAGGAAUACCGAUUGCGAAGGCGAUCUACUGGAACAUUAUUGACGCUGAGGCAUGAAAGCGUGGGGAGCAAACAGGAUUAGAUACCCUGGUAGUCCACGCCCUAAACGAUGCACACUAGUUGUUGCGAUGCUAGUCAUUGCAGUAAUGCACUUAACAGAUUAAGUGUGCCGCCUGGGGAGUACGGUCGCAAGAUUAAAACUCAAAGGAAUAGACGGGGACCCGCACAAGCGGUGGAGCAUGUGGUUUAAUUCGAAGAUACACGAAGAACCUUACCUGGGCUUGAUAUCCUAAGAAUCCUGUAGAGAUAUGGGAGUGCUAGUUUACUAGAACUUAGAGACAGGUGCUGCACGGCUGUCGUCAGCUCGUGCCGUGAGAUGUUGGGUUAAGUCCCGCAACGAGCGCAACCCUCGUGAUUAGUUGCUAACAGUUCGGCUGAGCACUCUAAUCAGACUGCCUUCGCAAGGAGGAGGAAGGUGAGGACGACGUCAAGUCAUCAUGGCCCUUAUGCCCAGGGCUACACACGUGCUACAAUGGCUAGGACAAAGAGAAGCGAUACUGCGAAGUGGAGCAAAUCUUAAAACCUAGUCUCAGUUCGGAUUGGAGUCUGCAACUCGACUCCAUGAAGCUGGAAUCGCUAGUAAUCGUAGAUCAGAUAUGCUACGGUGAAUACGUU
Molecule: ribosomal RNA, 816 nt
Filed under: uncultured bacterium
Lineage: Bacteria
Description: bacterial SSU rRNA
Rfam family: Bacterial small subunit ribosomal RNA
Source: RNAcentral